GGACCGACGGGAUAACAGCUGGUCAAGAAUGGAUGACGAGCACGGAAAAGGAGUGUCUGAGCCCAAGGGCUAGCCUCCACUCAUGAGGUUCUAGUCAUCACGAGGAUGAUUGGGCCUAAUGAUAUGUAUGUGUGUGUUAGUAUGGAUAAGAUGGUUGUUAUGAAUGUAUUGUUAGAAGUUAAUGCAUGUUAGGUUGAUUGCUUGUAUCAAAGUUUAUAUGCUAUCAUGAUGGUCGUUGUAUAGCUUAAGAAAAUGUUCUAUGUUUC
RNAcentral lists this long non-coding RNA (266 nucleotides) under Arabidopsis lyrata. RNAcentral describes it as "long non-coding RNA (ALYR_LNC001608)". The record is from RNAcentral. Lineage: Eukaryota; Viridiplantae; Streptophyta; Magnoliopsida; Brassicales; Brassicaceae.